CGAUGUCGGCUCUUCCCAUCCCGGUCCUGCAGCAGGGGCCAAGGGUGGGGCUGCUCGCCCAUUAAAGGGGAACGUGAGCUGGGUUUAGACCGUCGUGAGACAGGUCGGUCUCUACCUGAUGGAAGCGGUAGGUGUCUGAGAGGAAGUUGUCCCUAGUACGAGAGGAACGGGGCAACGCAGCCUCCGGUGUACUGGUUGUCCGACAGGGCAUGCCAGGCAGCUGAGCUGUUGGGGAUAAGAGCUGAAAGCAUCUAAGCUCGAAGCCCCUCUCGAGAAAAGACACCUCUCCA
RNAcentral lists this ribosomal RNA (290 nucleotides) under Candidatus Bathyarchaeota archaeon. RNAcentral's name for it is "partial 23S ribosomal RNA". It matches the Rfam family "Archaeal large subunit ribosomal RNA", at positions 2596 to 2886 of the family's 2987-position model. The record is from RNAcentral. Lineage: Archaea; Thermoproteati; Candidatus Bathyarchaeota.